This 492-nucleotide ribosomal RNA is filed under the name uncultured bacterium. Its description in RNAcentral is "partial 16S ribosomal RNA". It matches the Rfam family "Bacterial small subunit ribosomal RNA", at positions 29 to 507 of the family's 1533-position model. The record is from RNAcentral.
AGUGAACGCUGGCGGUAGGCCUAACACAUGCAAGUCGAACGGCAGCACAGUAAGAGCUUGCUCUUACGGGUGGCGAGUGGCGGACGGGUGAGGUAUACAUCGGAAUCUACUUUUUCGUGGGGGAUAACGUAGGGAAACUUACGCUAAUACCGCAUACCACCUACGGGUGAAAGCAGGGGAGCUUCGGACCUUGCGCGAUUGAAUGAGCCGAUGUCGGAUUAGCUAGUUGGCGGGGUAAAGGCCCACCAAGGCGACGAUCCGUAGCUGGUCUGAGAGGAUGAUCAGCCACACUGGAACUGAGACACGGUCCAGACUCCUACGGGAGGCAGCAGUGGGGAAUAUUGGACAAUGGGCGCAAGCCUGAUCCAGCCAUGCCGCGUGUGUGAAGAAGGCCUUCGGGUUGUAAAGCCCUUUUGUUGGGAAAGAAAAGCAGCAGGUUAAUACCCCGCUGUUCUGACGGUACCCAAAGAAUAAGCACCGGCUAACUUCGUG